Molecule: long non-coding RNA, 1383 nt
Organism: Astatotilapia calliptera (eastern happy)
Lineage: Eukaryota; Metazoa; Chordata; Actinopteri; Cichliformes; Cichlidae
Source: Ensembl
GGGGAGCUCAGGAGUUAAUCGCGUACAGCAGGACGAAAGGUGACAGAGUCCGAGCUGACAACUGUUUUAAAACAACUAUUUCAUCCUCCUCUCGCGGUUGUCCCUCAUCAUACUCGCGUGCUGACGAAAUCCCUCACUUCUGGGAAAAGGAGUGUAACCUGGAACAUUAAGGGAGACAUGGAGCAAACAUGAGGAGACAGGCUGAGGAGACAAGGAUGAAACACAAGGAGAGGAACAAAGGAACAGGAACCAGAAUCGAUGGACUGGACUGCUUACGGUGAACAACCAGUUCCUGGCCGUGCUGCUGGACCAUCUGUCUCCUCCAUGGAUGACGACGUCACCCCAAUGGAGAUAGACUAAAAGGUUCAGCAUACCAAAAGUGAAAGAAGAGGAUGACAAUCAUAACAUUUCUGCUUGGGCAAUUACAGUUGAUCCUGCAACAAUUUGGUUUUUGUUUUUUUUUUUAGAUAAUUUUGUAAAUUUCAUUUCUCAAACCCUAAGCUGCUGUAAUCAAGUGUUACUAUAAAAGCAAGUAGAAGUCAAUUUUUUUUAAUGCAGCAGCUAAUUUCUUCCUGUUGGCUUUAAAGCGGGUUGACGGACCUUUUUUCACAAGAAUAUAUCUUGAAAAGUACUUGAUAUAUGAAACUAAAAUUACAUAGUACAUAUUACAUAUACAUAUUACAUACAUAUAAAAUUACAUAGUACAUAUUACAUAUUUUGUACAAAUUUUAAAGACAUUACACAGAUUUGGGACCAAUCAGGAAAAAUAAUCUCUAACCCAGCUCAAAUUAAUUAUGUUUUUUAUGCUAUUUUAUAAACCCCUUUAUAAAUCUGAAUCACAGUAGUAAAACUCAAAUAAAAUACUUUUCUUUUGGGAACUUAAGCUUACCAAGGGUAGGCCAAUGGUAAUAAAAAAUUAGAUGCUCCAAUAUAUAUGUCCAAACUGAACCAUAAUAUGUCUAUUGCAAAUUGGAGAAUGUUCUAGAAAUUUAAAUAGAUUAUUAUUUUUAUUCUAAUUUGAGUACAGUUUUUGAGAUGUUCAUUUUCAAGCAUUGCCAUAUAUAGCAUCUGAUAUGCAUUUUUUCCCCUUUUUUUGUGACAAGUAUUCUAUAUGGUUUAUUUUUUGGUAUUGUAAAAUUCAACUACAUAUCAUUCAGAAAUUAAAUUGCUGUGAACAAACAUUGGACUUUUUUUUCAUAUUUUAACUAGCCAAAACUUGAUGGUAAAAAACAACAAGAGAAAAUACAGACUUUUAUCUUUAAUGGAGUUUGAAAUAUUUAUGUUCAAAUACUGAACAUUGAUGUGUUCUUAAAGAAGACCUGAAAGUGGGUCAGUGGAAAGUUUUUCCAAAAAAAUAAAACUGAUAUGAUAUUAUUGAUGCGA